CCUACGGGUGGCAGCAGUGCGGAAUCUUGGUCAAUGGGCGCGAGCCUGAACCAGCCAAGUCGCGUGCGGGAAGACGGUCCUAUGGAUUGUAAACCUCUUUUGUCGGGGAGCAAAAGACGCCACGCGUGGCGUUCCGCGAGUACCCGCAGAACACGCAUCGGCUAACUCCGUGCCAGCAGCCGCGGUAAUACGGAGGAUGCGAGCGUGAUCCGGAUUUAUUGGGUUUAAAGGGUGCGCAGGCGGAAGAUCAAGUCAGCGGUAAAAUUGAGAGGCUCAACCUCUUAGAGCCGUUGAAACUGGUUUUCGUGAGGGAGCGAGAAGUAUGCGGAAUGCGUGGUGUAGCGGUGAAAUGCAUAGAGAUCACGCAGAACUCCGAUUGCGAAGGCAGCAUACCGGCGCUCAACUGACGCUCAUGCACGAAAGUGUGGGUAUCGAACAGGAUUAGAUACCCCGGUAGUC
Molecule: ribosomal RNA, 459 nt
Filed under: uncultured bacterium
Lineage: Bacteria
Description: partial 16S ribosomal RNA
Rfam family: Bacterial small subunit ribosomal RNA
Source: RNAcentral